This 282-nucleotide long non-coding RNA is filed under the name Nicotiana benthamiana. RNAcentral describes it as "long non-coding RNA (NBEN_LNC001612)". Lineage: Eukaryota; Viridiplantae; Streptophyta; Magnoliopsida; Solanales; Solanaceae. The record is from RNAcentral.
UUUCUCGAAAUUCCAAAGAGCAUGCACGCCAAAAUUCUGUUUUGUCCCUUCGUGAUGCUCCUGAAGAAUGCUUUCAUUUUAAAAUUGAAAGCUUAAAAAGAACAUGGUUCCAUGUGCACUUUGCCCCACGCCACUAUUUAAAAAUCAACAACUACAACUGCAACAACCCAGUAUAAUCCCACUUAGUGGGGUCUGGGGGAGGGUAGUGUGUACGCAGACCUUAACCCUACCAUUGGGUAGAGAGGCUGUUUCCAAAUAGACCUCCGGCAUCCUUCCCUCCAA